RNAcentral lists this ribosomal RNA (379 nucleotides) under uncultured cyanobacterium. RNAcentral's name for it is "bacterial SSU rRNA". It matches the Rfam family "Bacterial small subunit ribosomal RNA", at positions 376 to 770 of the family's 1533-position model. Lineage: Bacteria; Bacillati; Cyanobacteriota. The record is from RNAcentral.
CGAAAGCCUGACGGAGCAACGCCGCGUGUGGGAAGAAGGCUCUUGGGCUGUCAACCACUUUUCUCAGGGAAGAAGUUCUGACGGUACCUGAGGAAUCAGCCUCGGCUAACUCCGUGCCAGCAGCCGCGGUAAUACGGAGGAGGCAAGCGUUAUCCGGAAUUAUUGGGCGUAAAGCGUUCGUAGGCGGCUGUUCAAGUCUGCUGUCAAAGACCGAGGCUCAACCUCGGGUCGGCAGUGGAAACUGGAUAGCUAGAGGUCGGUAGGGGCAAAGGGAAUUCCCAGUGUAGCGGUGAAAUGCGUAGAUAUUGGGAAGAACACCGGUGGCGAAAGCGCUCUACUGGACGGCAACUGACACUCAGGGACGAAAGCUAGGGGAGCG